This 787-nucleotide ribosomal RNA is filed under the name Verrucomicrobia bacterium SCGC AAA164-L23. RNAcentral describes it as "bacterial SSU rRNA". It matches the Rfam family "Bacterial small subunit ribosomal RNA", at positions 76 to 859 of the family's 1533-position model. RNAcentral also lists the same sequence under 2 other names. Lineage: Bacteria; Pseudomonadati; Verrucomicrobiota. The record is from RNAcentral.
UAGCUUGCUAAUGAGAUUCUUAGUGGCGGACGGGUUAGUAACACGUGAGAUACCUACCCUUUAGACAGGAAUAGCCCAUGGAAACGUGGAAUAAUACCUGAUAGUCUCUACGGAGUAAAUGAUGCCUUCGGGUGUCGCUAAAGGAUGGGCUCGCGGCCUAUCAGUUUGUUGGUGAGGUAAAGGCUCACCAAGACUACGACGGGUAGCUGGUCUGAGAGGACGAUCAGCAACACUGGAACUGAGACACGGUCCAGACACCUACGGGUGGCAGCAGUCGAGAAUCAUUCACAAUGGAGGAAACUCUGAUGGUGCAACGCCGCGUGGAGGAUGACGGCCCUAGGGUUGUAAACUCCUGUCAUUGGGGAGUAAGACUUAUGCGUUAAGAGCGUGUAAGUUUGAUAGUACCCAAAGAGGAAGGGACGGCUAACUUCGUGCCAGCAGCCGCGGUAAUACGAAGGUCCCAAGCGUUGUUCGGAAUAACUGGGCGUAAAGCGUGUGUAGGCUGCGCGGAAAGUCAAAUGUGAAAGCCAAGGGCUCAACCCUUGAACUGCAUUCGAUACUCCCGUGCUAGAGUAAUGGAGAGGUAAGUGGAAUUCUCGGUGUAGCAGUGAAAUGCGUAGAUAUCGAGAGGAACAUCAAUGGCGAAGGCAACUUACUGGACAUUUACUGACGCUCAGACACGAAGGCUAGGGGAGCGAAAGGGAUUAGAUACCCCUGUAGUCCUAGCAGUAAACGGUGCUCGCUUGGUGUGGGAGGAUUCGACCCCUUCUGUGCCGGAGCUAACGCG